This 408-nucleotide ribosomal RNA is filed under the name uncultured bacterium. Its description in RNAcentral is "partial 16S ribosomal RNA". It matches the Rfam family "Bacterial small subunit ribosomal RNA", at positions 28 to 527 of the family's 1533-position model. The record is from RNAcentral.
GACGAACGCUGGCGGCUUGCCUAAUACAUGCAAGUCGAACGAAGUGGCGAACGGGGGAGUAAUAAGUGUGUAACCUGCCCUCCUUUUUGGGAUAAGCCUUGGAAACGGGGUCUAAUAUCGAAUAAAGGGGGAUGAGCUCGCGGCCUAUCAGCUUGUUGGUGGGGUGAUGGCCUACCAAGGCGGUGACGGGUAGCCGGCCUGAGAGGGGGAACGGCCACAUUGGGACAGAGAUACGGCCCAGACGCCUACGGGAGGGAGCAGUGUGGGAGCAUGCGCAAUGGGCGAAAGCCAGAUGCAGCGACGCCGCGGGGGGGAUGAAGGCUGUCGGGUUGUAAAGCUAUUUCGCUAUCGAGCGGGUAGGUGGAGAAGGAGCGCCGGCUAACUACGUGCCAGCAGACGAGGUAAUUG